UUUGCCUGUUUACAAACUUUAUAUAAACGGAAUCAUGCAUACAGAGAAGAGUAGCAUGGUCCCUGCGCAAGAAUGACAUGCACAUUUAUGAAACAUUCAUUAAAAAG
Cercocebus atys (sooty mangabey) is the source of this 107-nucleotide small nuclear RNA. NCBI's taxonomy places the organism in Eukaryota, Metazoa, Chordata, Mammalia, Primates, Cercopithecidae. The record is from Ensembl.